UGGUGUGAAUUGCAGAAUCCCGCGAACCAUCGAGUCUUUGAACGCAAGUUGC
RNAcentral lists this ribosomal RNA (52 nucleotides) under Camellia sinensis. RNAcentral's name for it is "partial 5.8S ribosomal RNA". Lineage: Eukaryota; Viridiplantae; Streptophyta; Magnoliopsida; Ericales; Theaceae. The record is from RNAcentral.